This 543-nucleotide ribosomal RNA is filed under the name uncultured bacterium. RNAcentral's name for it is "bacterial SSU rRNA". It matches the Rfam family "Bacterial small subunit ribosomal RNA", at positions 774 to 1319 of the family's 1533-position model. The record is from RNAcentral.
ACGCAAUAGAUACCCUGGUAGUCCACGCCCUAAACGAUGUCUACUAGUUGUCGGGUCUUAAUUGACUUGGUAAACGCAGCUAAACGCGUGAAGUAGACCGCCUGGGGAGUACGGUCGCAAGAUUAAAACUCAAAGGAAUUGACGGGGACCCGCACAAGCGGUGGAUGAUGUGGAUUAAAUUCGAUGCAACGCGAAAAACCUUACCUACCCUUGACAUGGAAGGAAUCCCUGAGAGAUCGGGGAGUGCUCGAAAGAGAACCUUUACACAGGUGCUGCAUGGCUGUCGUCAGCUCGUGUCGUGAGAUGUUGGGUUAAGUCCCGCAACGAGCGCAACCCUUGUCAUUAGUUGCUACGAAAGGGCACUCUAAUGAGACUGCCGGUGACAAACCGGAGGAAGGUGGGGAUGACGUCAAGUCCUCAUGGCCCUUAUGGGUAGGGCUUCACACGUCAUACAAUGGUACAUACAGAGGGCCGCCAACCCGCGAGGGGAGCUAAUCCCAGAAAGUGUAUCGUAGUCCGGAUUGUAGUCUGCAACUCGACUGC